Molecule: ribosomal RNA, 451 nt
Filed under: uncultured organism
Description: partial 16S ribosomal RNA
Rfam family: Bacterial small subunit ribosomal RNA
Source: RNAcentral
ACGUACACUCCUACGGGAGGCAGCAGUGGGGAAUAUUGGACAAUGGGCGCAAGCCUGAUCCAGCCAUGCCGCGUGAGUGAUGAAGGCCCUAGGGUUGUAAAGCUCUUUCACCGGUGAAGAUAAUGACGGUAACCGGAGAAGAAGCCCCGGCUAACUUCGUGCCAGCAGCCGCGGUAAUACGAAGGGGGCUAGCGUUGUUCGGAUUUACUGGGCGUAAAGCGCACGUAGGCGGACUAUUAAGUCAGGGGUGAAAUCCCGGGGCUCAACCCCGGAACUGCCUGUGAUACUGGUAUUCUUGAGUUCGAGGGAGGUGAGUGGAAUUCCGAGUGUAGAGGUGAAAUUCGUAGAUAUUCGGAGGAACACCAGUGGCGAAGGCGGCUCACUGGCUCGAUACUGACGCUGAGGUGCGAAAGCGUGGGGAGCAAACAGGAUUAGAAACCCCUGUAGUCCC